This 74-nucleotide transfer RNA is filed under the name Solibacillus silvestris StLB046. It matches the Rfam family "tRNA". From Rfam's summary of the family: Transfer RNA (tRNA) molecules are approximately 80 nucleotides in length. Their secondary structure includes four short double-helical elements and three loops (D, anti-codon, and T loops). The record is from Rfam by way of RNAcentral. Lineage: Bacteria; Bacillati; Bacillota; Bacilli; Caryophanales; Caryophanaceae.
GUUCUAGUAGCUCAGCUGGUUAGAGCGCACGCCUGAUAAGCGUGAGGUCGAUGGUUCGAGUCCAUUUAGGCCCA